Molecule: ribosomal RNA, 497 nt
Filed under: uncultured bacterium
Lineage: Bacteria
Description: partial 16S ribosomal RNA
Rfam family: Bacterial small subunit ribosomal RNA
Source: RNAcentral
GAUGAACGCUGGCGGCGUGCCUAAUACAUGCAAGUCGAGCGAACGGACGGGAAGCUUGCUUCUCUGAUGUUAGCGGCGGACGGGUGAGUAACACGUGGAUAACCUACCUAUAAGACUGGGAUAACUUCGGGAAACCGGAGCUAAUACCGGAUAAUAUUUUGAACCGCAUGGUUCAGAAGUGAAAGACGGUCUUGCUGUCACUUAUAGAUGGAUCCGCGCUGCAUUAGCUAGUUGGUAAGGUAGCGGCUUACCAAGGCAACGAUGCAUAGCCGACCUGAGAGGGUGAUCGGCCACACUGGAAAUGAGACACGGUCCAGACUCCUACGGGAGGCAGCAGUAGGGAAUCUUCCGCAAUGGGCGAAAGCCUGACGGAGCAACGCCGCGUGAGUGAUGAAGGUCUUCGGAUCGUAAAACUCUGUUAUUAGGGAAGAACAUAUGUGUAAGUAACUGUGCACAUCUUGACGGUACCUAAUCAGAAAGCCACGGCUAACUACGUG